GUAACAAGGUUUCCGUAGGUGAACCUGCGGAAGGAUCAUUACCUAGAGUUGUAGGCUUUGCCUGCUAUCUCUUACCCAUGUCUUUUGAGUACCUUCGUUUCCUCGGCGGGUUCGCCCGCCGAUUGGACAAUUUAAACCAUUUGCAGUUGCAAUCAGCGUCUGAAAAAACAUAAUAGUUACAACUUUCAACAACGGAUCUCUUGGUUCUGGCAUCGAUGAAGAACGCAGCGAAAUGCGAUAAGUAGUGUGAAUUGCAGAAUUCAGUGAAUCAUCGAAUCUUUGAACGCACAUUGCGCCCCUUGGUAUUCCAUGGGGCAUGCCUGUUCGAGCGUCAUUUGUACCUUCAAGCUCUGCUUGGUGUUGGGUGUUUGUCUCGCCUCUGCGUGUAGACUCGCCUCAAAACAAUUGGCAGCCGGCGUAUUGAUUUCGGAGCGCAGUACAUCUCGCGCUUUGCACUCAGAACGACGACGUCCAAAAGUACAUUUUUACACUCUUGACCUCGGAUCA
This 507-nucleotide ribosomal RNA is filed under the name Epicoccum sp. FL-2010c. RNAcentral's name for it is "eukaryotic LSU rRNA". The stretch from base 181 to 334 matches the Rfam family "5.8S ribosomal RNA". The record is from RNAcentral. Lineage: Eukaryota; Fungi; Ascomycota; Dothideomycetes; Pleosporales; Didymellaceae.